RNAcentral lists this ribosomal RNA (460 nucleotides) under uncultured bacterium. RNAcentral's name for it is "partial 16S ribosomal RNA". It matches the Rfam family "Bacterial small subunit ribosomal RNA", at positions 338 to 795 of the family's 1533-position model. The record is from RNAcentral.
CCUACGGGUGGCAGCAGUGAGGAAUAUUGGUCAAUGGGCGUAAGCCUGAACCAGCCAAGUCGCGUGAGGGAUGAAGGUUCUAUGGAUCGUAAACCUCUUUUAUAAGGGAAUAAAGUGCGGGACGUGUCCCGUUUUGUAUGUACCUUAUGAAUAAGGAUCGGCUAACUCCGUGCCAGCAGCCGCGGUAAUACGGAGGAUCCGAGCGUUAUCCGGAUUUAUUGGGUUUAAAGGGUGCGUAGGCGGCCUUUUAAGUCAGCGGUGAAAGUCUGUGGCUCAACCAUAGAAUUGCCGUUGAAACUGGGAGUCUUGAGUAUGUGUGAGGCAGGCGGAAUGCGUGGUGUAGCGGUGAAAUGCUUAGAUAUCACGCAGAACCCCGAUUGCGAAGGCAGUCUGCCAGGCCAUGACUGACGCUGAUGCACGAAAGCGUGGGGAUCGAACAGGAUUAGAUACCCGGGUAGUC